UCAGCUCGUGUCGUGAGAUGUUGGGUUAAGUCCCGCAACGAGCGCAACCCUUGUCACUAGUUGCCAUCAUUUGGUUGGGCACGUCUAGUGAGACUGCCGGUGACAAACCGGAGGGAAGGUGGGGAUGACGUCAAGUCCUCAUGGCCCUUAUGGUAGGGCUUCACACGUCAUACAAUGGUCGGUACAGAGGGUUGCCAAGCCGCGAGGUGGAGCCAAUCCCUUAAAGCCGAUCGUAGUCCGGAUCGUAGUCUGCAACUCGACUACGUGAAGUCGGAAUCGCUAGUAAUCGCAGAUCAGCAUGCUGCGGUGAAUACGUUCCCGGGUCUU
Molecule: ribosomal RNA, 327 nt
Filed under: uncultured Thauera sp.
Lineage: Bacteria; Pseudomonadati; Pseudomonadota; Betaproteobacteria; Rhodocyclales; Zoogloeaceae
Description: bacterial SSU rRNA
Rfam family: Bacterial small subunit ribosomal RNA
Source: RNAcentral